Molecule: ribosomal RNA, 468 nt
Filed under: uncultured bacterium
Lineage: Bacteria
Description: partial 16S ribosomal RNA
Rfam family: Bacterial small subunit ribosomal RNA
Source: RNAcentral
GACGAACGCUGGCGGCGUGCUUAACACAUGCAAGUCGAACGGAAAGGCCCUGCUUUUGUGGGGUGCUCGAGUGGCGAACGGGUGAGUAACACGUGAGUAACCUGCCCUUGACUUUGGGAUAACUUCAGGAAACUGGGGCUAAUACCGGAUAGGAGCUCCUGCUGCAUGGUGGGGGUUGGAAAGCUUCGGCGGUUGGGGAUGGACUCGCGGCUUAUCAGCUUGUUGGUGGGGUAGUGGCUUACCAAGGCUUCGACGGAUAGCCGGCCUGGGAGGGUGGCCGGCCACAAUGGGACUGAGAUACGGCCCAGACGGCUACGGGAGGCAGCAGUGGGGAAUAUUGCACAAUGAGCGGAAGCCUGAUGCAGCGGCGCCGCGUGCGGGAUGACGGCCUUCGGGUUGUAAACCGCUUUCGCCUGUGACGAAGCGUGAGUGACGGUAAUGGGUAAAGAAGCACCGGCUAACUACGUG